RNAcentral lists this ribosomal RNA (448 nucleotides) under uncultured bacterium. RNAcentral describes it as "bacterial SSU rRNA". It matches the Rfam family "Bacterial small subunit ribosomal RNA", at positions 355 to 825 of the family's 1533-position model. The record is from RNAcentral.
UCGGGAAUUUUGGGCAAUGGGCGAAAGCCUGACCCAGCAACGCCGCGUGAAGGAUGAAGUAUUUCGGUAUGUAAACUUCGUAAGAAUAGGAAGAAUAAAUGACGGUACUAUUUGUAAGAUCCGGCUAACUACGUGCCAGCAGCCGCGGUAAUACGUAGGGACCAAGCGUUGUUCGGAUUUACUGGGCGUAAAGGGCGCGUAGGCGGUGUGUCAAGUCAGUUGUGAAAUCUCCGAGCUUAACUCGGAACGGUCAACUGAUACUGUCACACUAGAGUACAGAAGGGGCAAUCGGAAUUCUUGGUGUAGCGGUGAAAUGCGUAGAUAUCAAGAGGAACACCUGAGGCGAAGGCGGGUUGCUGGGCUGACACUGACGCUGAGGCGCGAAAGCCAGGGGGAGCAAACGGGAUUAGAUACCCGCGUAGUCCCUGAGCGGGCUGGCAAGGCGCAU